RNAcentral lists this ribosomal RNA (387 nucleotides) under uncultured bacterium. Its description in RNAcentral is "bacterial SSU rRNA". It matches the Rfam family "Bacterial small subunit ribosomal RNA", at positions 29 to 410 of the family's 1533-position model. The record is from RNAcentral.
AACGAACGCUGGCGGCACGCCUCAUACAUGCAAGUCGAGCGCGAAACCACCUUCGGGUGAUGUAGAGCGGCGAACGGGUGAGUAACAGGUGGAUAAUCUGCCCUUUGGCGGGGGACAACAGCUGGAAACGGCUGCUAAUACCGCAUGUGGUUGUAUGCUCAUGGUGUACAAAGAAAGACGCCUCAAAGCGUCACCAAAGGAUGAGUCCGCCCCCCAUUAGCUAGUUGGUGAGAUAACAGCUCACCAAGGCAUCGAUGGGUAGCCGAGCUGAGAGGUUGAUCGGCCACACUGGAACUGAGACACGGUCCAGACACCUACGGGUGGCAGCAGUAGGGAAUAUUAGCGCAAUGGGCGAAAGCCUGACGCAGCGAUGCCGCGUGAGUGACG